This 811-nucleotide ribosomal RNA is filed under the name uncultured bacterium. Its description in RNAcentral is "partial 16S ribosomal RNA". The record is from RNAcentral.
GAAAUCACUACGACAUGCNCGAUGUUANGCUAUCAACAUGGGCGNGUGGUUUAAAGAUCUCAACACUAGGCCGGUCGUUUACAGCCUACACAUGCAGUCGAACGGAGCACAGAAGCUGCUCCUGGGUGGCGAGUGGCGGACGGGUGAGAAUACAUCGGAAUCUACUCAUAGUCAGUAGAGAGGAGAAUAACAGUACGAGAGAAAACUUACCAGCUAAUAACCAGGCAUACGAACCAUAACGAGGUGAAAAAGCAGAGGAGAAUCAUAUCGAGACCCUAUGCGCGAAANGAAAAUNUGAAGCCGAAAGUCGAGAAUAUAAGCUAGAUAGGCGGGGNGAAUAAAAAGAGCACCACCAAAAGAGGACACGAAAACAGGAAAGUCCCCAGGUAACAGAACUUAGGAGUUCCAUUGGGANCAGACAGCGGAAGUCGNGAAAGUCGCAAAGGCUACGAAAACAAACGAAGGAGCAAAACCAGUUNNGAAAANGAAAACAACCCGGAGGNAUAGCACCCAAANNAAAACUAUCUCCCCUUAACCAGUAGGGUCGAACAGAGUNGGGCACAAUCGCCCAAGAAUNGAGGGGGCAGGAAACCGACNUUACAGUAUUCUAGGGGAAUGCCAAAAAUGAAGGAGAGCAGGNCCAAAAACAGGCCGCCAAUCUGNAAUAGUUAUCCCCAAAGCGUGCGCCCACAAGAUAGAANCCCCUUCGUGGGGGAUAUUCAAGGCGGNAUUGGAAACNNCGNAACACGAGGGGCCCCUAUAUACCAUUGGAGAGGGNAUAGAGGUAAUAACANUAGAGAGCGCNCCCCGG